GUGCCAGCAGCCGCGGUAAUACGUAGGUGGCAAGCGUUAUCCGGAAUUAUUGGGCGUAAAGCGCGCGCAGGUGGUUUCUUAAGUCUGAUGUGAAAGCCCACGGCUCAGCCGUGGAGGGUCAUUGGAAACUGGGAGACUUGAGUGCAGAAGAGGAAAGUGGAAUUCCAUGUGUAGCGGUGAAAUGCGUAGAGAUAUGGAGGAACACCAGUGGGGAAUGCGAAGUUCU
RNAcentral lists this ribosomal RNA (226 nucleotides) under uncultured bacterium. RNAcentral's name for it is "partial 16S rRNA". It matches the Rfam family "Bacterial small subunit ribosomal RNA", at positions 505 to 730 of the family's 1533-position model. The record is from RNAcentral.